GAUUACUAGCGAUUCCAGCUUCACGCAGUCGAGUUGCAGACUGCGAUCCGGACUACGAUCGGUUUUCUGGGAUUGGCUCCACCUCGCGGCUUGGCAACCCUCUGUUCCGACCAUUGUAUGACGUGUGAAGCCCUACCCAUAAGGGCCAUGAGGACUUGACGUCAUCCCCACCUUCCUCCGGUUUGUCACCGGCAGUCUCCCUGGAGUGCUCUUGCGUAGCAACUAGGGACAAGGGUUGCGCUCGUUGCGGGACUUAACCCAACAUCUCACGACACGAGCUGACGACAGCCAUGCAGCACCUGUGUUACGGCUCCCUUUCGGGCACUUCCACCUCUCGGCAGAAUUCCGUACAUGUCAAGGGUAGGUAAGGUUUUUCGCGUUGCAUCGAAUUAAUCCACAUCAUCCACCGCUUGUGCGGGUCCCCGUCAAUUCCUUUGAGUUUUAAUCUUGCGACCGUACUCCCCAGGCGGUCAACUUCACGCGUUAGCUAC
RNAcentral lists this ribosomal RNA (491 nucleotides) under Paraburkholderia tropica. RNAcentral describes it as "partial 16S ribosomal RNA". The record is from RNAcentral. Lineage: Bacteria; Pseudomonadati; Pseudomonadota; Betaproteobacteria; Burkholderiales; Burkholderiaceae.